GGAGAAGGUCUUCUUGAUGUUGUCGAGGUUCUUGAUGGCCUCCCCGAAGGAAGUCAGCACCUUCUUGCCAUGGGCACGCACCUUGGGGUUGCCGCAGAUGGCGGUGGCGCUGGACAGGUUCCCAAAGUGGGCAAAGAACCUCUGGGUCCAGGGGUACACCACCAGCAAGCUGCCAGGGCGUUUGGCGCCGGUUUCCGCUACGUCCACUUUGCCCCAGAUGGUGGUGAUGAGCUUCUUCUCUUCCUCGGUCCAGUGCACCAUGGCUGGCUGGCGGGUGGGGGGGCCUCUGCUUGGC
Molecule: long non-coding RNA, 295 nt
Organism: Heteronotia binoei (common prickly gecko)
Lineage: Eukaryota; Metazoa; Chordata; Lepidosauria; Squamata; Gekkonidae
Exons: 3
Source: RefSeq, a predicted model, not a curated record